This 456-nucleotide long non-coding RNA is filed under the name Olea europaea subsp. europaea. Lineage: Eukaryota; Viridiplantae; Streptophyta; Magnoliopsida; Lamiales; Oleaceae. The record is from RNAcentral.
GAAAAAAAGGGAAAAUAUUCUGUUUUUAUGUUAUUAUUUUACCGUGUGAGAUCCCCACACGAAUACAUUAAUAAAUUCACCCCACCCAAUCUUGAUAAAACCCUCAGAAUUCACCGUCUUUUUCUGCUGUUACAUUUUUAUUUUGCAGCUGUAAUUGGCAAGAAGAGGUGACUGGGACUGGAACUCCUCUUCAUGAUGCUUGAAGAUUCAGACGGCGGUGCCACCGCCGUGAAGGGUACUGAAAGUGGUGAAGUUGGGCUUGGAAGCGGCGAUUUUGGGGAGGAAGAUAAUUGGGAAUUGAAGAAGGUGAUAGGAGUGGUGGCGGCGGUGGAAACCGGUGGCCGAGGCAGGAAACACUCACCCUUUUAAAAAUUCGAUCUGAUGUGGAUGUUGCUUUGAAUUAAUCUUCUCAGUAACUUUUGUGUAAGGAAUUUGGAGGUGGAGGAAGAAGACAAG